RNAcentral lists this long non-coding RNA (1218 nucleotides) under Triticum aestivum (bread wheat). RNAcentral's name for it is "long non-coding RNA (TAES_LNC004124)". Lineage: Eukaryota; Viridiplantae; Streptophyta; Magnoliopsida; Poales; Poaceae. The record is from RNAcentral.
ACCGGGUCUCUUCCCCACCUCCGUGGUCUGCCUGCCCGUCCCGCCAUCAGCCACCGCGUCACCGCACCGACCAGAUCCAUGGCGUUAGUCGCGCCGUGCUUUGUGGUUCUACUCCGUCAGAGGUAAGGACGGGCUCUGCCGCCACAGGGAACCAGCCCCUCCUCCCCUACUUCUCCUCGUCGGAUUGUCGGUCUCCAGAUUGCGAAGGCGUGCACAACGACUCUCUCUCUCCCUUUUGCAGUGCAAAGAGGCGGCGCUGCAGUGCACCUCCGCACUGAUGCUAUAAUCCCCAAACUUCAGAUCCAGCAACCCCCCGUGCUUGCAGUUCAUUUUUUUCUAUUUGAAUUGAUGCAUGCAGCCCGAUUCAAUUACUGUAUUUUGCAGUUAGGAUGGGGGGUAGGAGCAGCUCCGUCGAGCUUCUGCUGGCGACGGCGAGAUACUUCAGGUGAGCCGCCCAGUGGUGUGGUUGCUGCAGCCGUGCAGUUCGGCCCGGGGCACGUGCAGUUGAAUUGCACGGGUCGGCUGCCCUCUGCGAGGAAUCAGUUGCUUUUUUAUUUUUCAUUUUUAGUGAUUGUUCUUUACUCGACCGCCGACGCCGUUGCAGUGCAUCCGGAUCCCCGGCGUUUCGUCUUCUCACCGUCAUCCCUUCUCUGCCAGUUGCCAUCCACCAGGAGGAGAGGGGAGAAACUCCCAGCACCCUUGCACUUUCUGACAUGUACGAGUGCAGUGCGCUAGUCGCGUUGGUGCAGCCCGCUGGCAUCCAGCAGGGGAUGCAGCUCUUCGGUGGGUGAAGUGCGGUCCACGCCGAGCGCCAAUGCAGUGCUGUGCCCCUUGGUGGUUAUGAAAAAAAGCAUGCAGUUUGUUUCGAAUUGGGUCGCGGCUCACUUCCUCCGAUGCAAAAUUCAAAUUGCACUUGUUCCUGCAUGGUGUCGCGUGUUCACAAAAAAAAAUUGCAUCGGCACUUGCAGUGCAUUUUGCUGUCGCGUGCGGUUCACUACGCUGGCCUCGCAGUUGAGAUGAAAUUAUAAAGAGAAAAUGCUAGGAAAAAAAUAAUGCAACUCCCUUUGUCGCUAUUGCAAUGCGGUUCAUUUUGUAGUGAGUCAAAGUGGUUCACUUUGUAAAGCAAAAAGAUUGUCGAAAAGAAGUAUGAAGUUCACUAGUCUCGUUGGUGAGGUUUGCUACUCUUGUGUGUGGUUUGCUAGUCUCGUCUAUUGGUAC